RNAcentral lists this ribosomal RNA (498 nucleotides) under uncultured bacterium. RNAcentral's name for it is "partial 16S ribosomal RNA". It matches the Rfam family "Bacterial small subunit ribosomal RNA", at positions 29 to 523 of the family's 1533-position model. The record is from RNAcentral.
AUUGAACGCUGGCGGCAUGCCUUACACAUGCAAGUCGGACGGUAACGCGGGGCAACCUGGCGACGAGUGGCGAACGGGUGAGUAAUGCAUCGGAACGUGCCUGGUAGUGGGGGAUAACUGCUCGAAAGAGCAGCUAAUACCGCAUACGACCUGAGGGUGAAAGGGGGGGAUCGCAAGACCUCUCGCUAUCAGAGCGGCCGAUGUCGGAUUAGCUAGUUGGUGGGGUAAAAGCCCACCAAGGCGACGAUCCGUAGCUGGUCUGAGAGGACGACCAGCCACACUGGGACUGAGAAACGGCCCAGACUACUACGGGAGGCAGCAGUGGGGAAUUUUGGACAAUGGACGCAAGUCUGAUCCAGCCAUGCCGCGUGCGGGAAGAAGGCCUUCGGGUUGUAAACCGCUUUUGUCAGGGAAGAAAUCUUCUGGGCUAAUACCCUGGGAGGAUGACGGUACCUGAAGAAUAAGCACCGGCUAACUACGUGCCAGCCGCCGCGGUAA